This 651-nucleotide ribosomal RNA is filed under the name Distichlis spicata (saltgrass). RNAcentral's name for it is "eukaryotic LSU rRNA". The stretch from base 256 to 411 matches the Rfam family "5.8S ribosomal RNA". Lineage: Eukaryota; Viridiplantae; Streptophyta; Magnoliopsida; Poales; Poaceae. The record is from RNAcentral.
UUCCGUAGGUGAACCUGCGGAAGGAUCAUUGUCGUGACCCUGACCAAAACAGACCGUGAACGUGUCCUCCAUGCCGCCGGGAUACAGGUCUUUCACCUGUCUCUCGGUACAGGGCGCCAACCUUCUUUGGAGGGGAGGGGCCCUAAAAGAACCCACGGCGCCGUAUGGCGUCAAGGAACACUGAUAUUGCCUAGCACGGGGCCACGGUCGGCUUGCCGGGCGCACCCCGUGCCGCGAUGAUACAUUAAUCCACAUGACUCUCGGCAACGGAUAUCUCGGCUCUCGCAUCGAUGAAGAACGUAGCAAAAUGCGAUACCUGGUGUGAAUUGCAGAAUCCCGUGAACCAUCGAGUUUUUGAACGCAAGUUGCGCCCGAGGCCUCGUGGUCGAGGGCACGUCUGCCUGGGCGUCACGCCAAAAGACACUCCACACCCGUCAAGGUGCGGAUGUGGUAUCUGGCCCCUCACGCAACUGUGCGGUGGGCCUAAGUUGGGGCUGCCGGCGGUGCCGACCACAGCGCAAGGUGGAUGACGCGAGUUGUUCUCAGCGCUAUGAUUCGGACCGCUUUCGGUGAUGCCAUGGCCCUCUGUACCCAUCGACCGAAGCGCACGUCGCUCGGACCGCGACCCCAGGUCAGUCGGGAUUACCCGCU